GUAGUCUCGCACAGAUGCAUAUCAAUAAGCGGAGGAAAAGAAACUAACAAGGAUUCCCUUCAGUAACGGCGAGUGAAGCGGGAAGAGCUCAAAUUUGAAAUCUUGCAAGGUUUCACCUUUCACGAAUUGUAGUUUAAAGAAGUGUUUUCUGCUUAAGUAUUGGUAAUAAGUUCUUUGGAAUAGGACAUCAUAGAGGGUGAGAAUCCCGUAUGAUUGACCGAUUUUGUCAGCUUUGUGAUACACCUUUCAAAGAAUCGGGUUGUUUGGGAAUGCAGUCCCAAAAUGGGAUGGUAAAUUUCUUCUAAGGCUAAAUAUUGGCGAGAGACCGAUAGCGAACAAGUACCGUGAGGGAAAGAUGAAAAGAACUUUGAAAAGAGAGUUAAACAGUACGUGAAAUUGUCAAAAGGGAAGCGUUUGAACACCAGUGUUGUUUUCCUCGAAAAUCAAUUAAAAAUGAGCUCGAUUUUGUAUUGUAUUGAGACCUUAAAAGCUGCACUUUACAAUUUUUCUUGUCUUUUUUAAUGCACUUUUCGUUUAACAAGUCAACAUCAGUUUCUUUUGUUGUAAAAAGGUCAUUGGAAGGUGGCUUUCUUUUCGGAGAAAGUGUUUAUAGCCUUUGACUCCUGCAAUCGGAGAGACUGAGGUCUGCAGCGUAGAUCCUUCGGGGUUAGAUACAUUUGUGCUAAGAUUAUAGCUUUUUAUAGACAACUUGUUGACUAUGAUUAGUCUUGUAGCUUACUCGCUUAUGCUAUUUUACCUACGCUUAGGAUGUUGAAGAUGUAGCACAUCAU
This 791-nucleotide ribosomal RNA is filed under the name uncultured Neocallimastigales. RNAcentral describes it as "partial large subunit ribosomal RNA". It matches the Rfam family "Eukaryotic large subunit ribosomal RNA", at positions 24 to 633 of the family's 3401-position model. Lineage: Eukaryota; Fungi; Neocallimastigomycota; Neocallimastigomycetes; Neocallimastigales. The record is from RNAcentral.